RNAcentral lists this ribosomal RNA (468 nucleotides) under uncultured bacterium. Its description in RNAcentral is "partial 16S ribosomal RNA". It matches the Rfam family "Bacterial small subunit ribosomal RNA", at positions 28 to 507 of the family's 1533-position model. The record is from RNAcentral.
GACGAACGCUGGCGGCGUGCUUAACACAUGCAAGUCGAACGGAAAGGCCCUGCUUUUGUGGUGUGCUCGAGUGGCGAACGGGUGCGUAACACGUGAGUAACCUGCCCUUGACUUUGGUGUAACUUCAGGAAACUGGGGCUAAUCCAGUAUAGGAUCUCCUGCUGCAUGGUGGGGGUUGGAAAGUUUCGGCGGUUGGGGAUGGACUCGCGGCUUAUCAGCUUGUUGGUUGGGUAGUGGCUUACCAAGGCUUUGACGGGUAGCCGGCAUGUGAGCGUGACCGGCGACAAUGGGACUGAGAGACGGCCCAGACUGCUACGGGAGGCAGCAGGGGGGAAUAUGGCACAAUGGGAGGAAGCCGGAGGAAGAAACGCUGCGGGCGGGAUGACGGCUUUCGGGUUGUAAACCGCUUUAGCCUGUGACGAAGCGGGAGUGACGGUAAUGGGUAAAGAAGCACCGGCUAACUACGUG